AGAGUUUGAUCCUGGGCUCAGGAUGAACGCUAGCGGCAGGCUUAAUACAUGCAAGUCGAACGGUAAGGUCUCUUCGGAGAUACACGAGUGGCGCACGGGUGCGUAACGCGUAUGCAACCUACCUUCAACUGGGGAAUAGCCCCGAGAAAUCGGGAUUAAUACCCCAUAACAUCCGAGUUUUGCAUAAUUUUCGGAUUAAAGCUCCGGCGGUUGAAGAUGGGCAUGCGUGACAUUAGCUAGUUGGUGAGGUAAUGGCUCACCAAGGCGACGAUGUCUAGGGGUCCUGAGAGGGUUAACCCCCACACUGGUACUGAGACACGGACCAGACUCCUACGGGAGGCAGCAGUAAGGAAUAUUGGGCAAUGGACGCAAGUCUGACCCAGCCAUGCCGCGUGCAGGAUGACUGCCCUACGGGUUGUAAACUGCUUUUGUACAGGAAAAAACUUCCGGUCGUGCACCGGGACUGAUGGUACUGUACGAAUAAGCAUCGGCUAACUCCGUGCCAGCAGCCGCGGUAAUACGGAGGAUGCAAGCGUUAUCCGGAUUUAUUGGGUUUAAAGGGUGCGCAGGCGGAAUGAUAAGUCAGUGGUGAAAUCUCCCGGCUCAACCGGGAAACUGCCAUUGAUACUGUUGUUCUUGAGUACAGUUGAAGUGGGCGGAAUGUGUCAUGUAGCGGUGAAAUGCUUAGAUAUGACACAGAACACCGAUAGCGAAGGCAGCUCACUAAGCUGUAACUGACGCUCAUGCACGAAAGCGUGGGGAUCAAACAGGAUUAGAUACCCUGGUAGUCCACGCUGUAAGCGAUGAUCACUCGUUGUUGGCGAUAUACAGUCAGCGACUGAGCGAAAGCAUUAAGUGAUCCACCUGGGGAGUACGACGGCAACGUUGAAACUCAAAGGAAUUGACGGGGGCCCGCACAAGCGGAGGAGCAUGUGGUUUAAUUCGAUGAUACGCGAGGAACCUUACCUGGGCUUAAAUGUAGGACGACCUUCCGCGAAAGCGGAAUUUCCUUCGGGACGGCCUACAAGGUGCUGCAUGGUUGUCGUCAGCUCGUGCCGUGAGGUGUCGGGUUAAGUCCCAUAACGAGCGCAACCCUUAUUCUUAGUUGCCAUCAGGUAAUGCUGGGAACUCUAAGAAAACUGCCUACGCAAGUAGUGAGGAAGGUGGGGAUGACGUCAAAUCAGCACGGCCCUUAUGUCCAGGGCGACACAC
This 1212-nucleotide ribosomal RNA is filed under the name metagenome. RNAcentral describes it as "bacterial SSU rRNA". It matches the Rfam family "Bacterial small subunit ribosomal RNA", at positions 8 to 1221 of the family's 1533-position model. The record is from RNAcentral.